RNAcentral lists this long non-coding RNA (2967 nucleotides) under Salmo salar (Atlantic salmon). Its description in RNAcentral is "lncRNA (ENSSSAG00000104724.1)". The record is from RNAcentral. Lineage: Eukaryota; Metazoa; Chordata; Actinopteri; Salmoniformes; Salmonidae.
AGCAUGUCAAACGCUGUUUAAAAUAUUUUUUUAUGCUAUUUUUCUCGUAAAAUAGCGAUAAUAUUCCAACCGGGCAACGUUGUAUUCAUUCAAAGGCUGACCACUUACAAACUCUCCUGCUGUUGUACUUUGCCCAGAGACAGCAGACACCCCAUUCCACUUUCUGGCGGCUUUAGAGAGCCAAUGGAAGCCUUAGAAAGUGUCACGUUACAGCACAGAUGCUGUAUUUUCGAUAGAGAUGCAACAGAAGGACAACAAAUUGUCAGACAGGGCACUUCCUGUAUAGAAUCUUCUCAGGUUUUGGCCUGCCAUAUGAGUUCUGUUAUACUCACAGACACCAUUCAAACAGUUUUAGAAACUUUAGAGUGUUUUCUAUCCAAAUAUACUAAUUAUAUGCAUAUUCUACUUUCUGGGCAGGAGUAGUAACCAGAUUAAAUCGGGUACGUUUUUUAUCCGGAUGUGAAAAUACUGCCCCCUAUCCCAAAGAGGUUAACACAGUGUCCAAAGAAGGGCCAGAAGUAUACAGAAUGGUGUCGUCUGCGUAGAGGUGGAUCAGAGAAUCACCAGCAGCAAGAGCGACAUCAUUGAUGUAUACAGAGAAGAGAGUCGGCCCAAGAAUUGAACCCUGUGGCACCCCCAUAGAGACUGCCAGAGGUCCGGACAACAGGCCCUCCGAUUUGACACACUGAACUCUAUCAGAGAAGUAGUUGGUGAACCAGGCGAGGCAAUCAUUUGAGAAACCAAGGCUGUUGAGUCUGCCAAUAAGAAUGUGGUGAUUGACAGAGUCGAAAGCCUUGGCCAGGUCCAUGAAUACAGCUGCACAGUAAUGUCUCUUAUCGAUGGCGGUUAUGAUAUUGUUAAGGACCUGACAGCCCUUCUGAAGCUGAUGACCAUAUCCUUGGAUUUCUUUUCGUUCACAUACAGGCAGUUGGUUUUCCCCAUUGGGCCACUGCAUAUACUGCUGCAUGUGUUUGGCCAGGUAGCUUGCCAGGGAGCAAAAUCUGUGAAUGUGAGGUCAUCAGCCUACUUGACAGGAUGGAUUCUCUUUGGGAGGCUGGAGUCUAUGGUGAUCAUGCAUAGCACUAAGAAUGUAGGGGAAAGAGCACUCUCCAGCACAGCUGGGACUGGCUGUGAGUUAGAAAGCCAUGUUCUCGACCUAACCGUCUGCUUGCGGUUGCCCAGUUCGCUCUUGAUAGAGAUCCAUAGUGAGCGGGUCACCUCAUGCUCCACUAGAGUGAGUAGAAGAUGGUUUAGGGUGUUAAAUGCUCUGGAAAAGCUUAUGAAGGUUACAUGAACAUCCUGCUUUGGCACUUUGUUUGAUGCGUUGUGCCAGAGCAGACACUGUUGACCUGUUCUUCACAAAGCCAUGUUGUGAAGACUUGAUGUUAUGAGCAGUCUCCUUCUACAGUAUGUUGUGUUCAACCGCUCAUAGAUUUUUCCCAUGGAGCUGAGGAGAGAGAUUUGCCUGUAGUCUUGGAGGAAGAUGGGGUUGCUCUUUUUUAGGCACAGCACAGAUGGACUUUUUCCAUUGAGAGGGGGAAGUAGCUGUGUCCCAUAGAUAAGUUGAAGAUAUCGCAUGGUACUGGUGCAAGCUCCUUACAGUACGUUUUAGGAACCAGGGAGGAAUCUCGUCGGGCCUGCAGACUUCUGCCCAUUCAGCCACUUCAGAUGGGUUUUGAUCUGGCCAAUGUUGAAACUGGGGGGACAGACGUUUGUAAGCUUGUUUUCAAUAGCCUCAAUUUCAGGGAUCAUGCAUGUUGUACCUUCCCAUACAGAGGAAACUGGGCACUGAGAAUGUCACAUUCCCUCUGAGAAUCCUGUUGAUUGAGGGCUAAAAGGUUUUCUCUUGUCUCACUCGCACCAAUCAAGCUUUUCAAUGAUUUGUACUAGCCAGCAAAGUUAGAUGACUUCAGCUGUUGGACUUCUGCUUGGAAGUACUCUUUCUUGGCAUUUUUCACCAGAGCUGCAACUUUCUGCUGAAGCGGCUUGUAUUCUGCUUUGUCUUUACUGUGAAAGACUUUCUGUCUGGAUGAGCUGAGGCUGAGUCUGUGUGUGUGGUCAUCCAUUGCUUGUCUCUGGUGGUCAGUUAGCUUUUUUUGAUGGAGAGAUUACUAUUGAAAGUCAUUUUUAGGAAAGAGUUAAGUUCAUCUGUCUGCUCUUGGGAGUGUUUUGCUGUGUAGACUGGUGUGAAACUAUCUGUAUUUAGUGCCAUGGAGAGAGCUCUUAGGUUGUCAGAGGUACGGUGUUGUUUGUAGAUGUCCUGAGCUGGUGAUUUAGGCCAUUCACCUGCUGACCACAAUAUGGUCUGGUGAUCCGACUCACCUGUCAGUGGUAGAUGCUUGGCUUUGGAGUAUAGGCCUUUCAUGGUGGUAAAUAUGGAGUCAGCUGAUUAGCUCCACAUGUAGAGUAUGUUACCACUUGGUUAAGGCAAAUCUGUUUGUGUCACCAAGAAUCACAAGACCUGGGAGGGUCUAUUUGCGUUGCACAUGGUCCAAGCACCGCCCUAGAUACUCUGAGACCCAUUCUUUAGAAGUUGGGAGUGGGAUGUAAAUUAUAUCUGUUAUAAUACAGUUCAGGCCACAGCCAAAGGCACUCACAACGAGUGUCCUCAAGUUCACAUAGUCAUUUGUGCCUGAUGUUACUGUCAAUGUAUAGGGUGAUCCCUCCUCCAGAGCUGCACAGCUGUUUAUUUAUUUUAUUUGAUGACGGUUCAUACAUUUGAUGCUCAUUAGUAGGAGAAAAGUUAUACAAUAAAUGGAAGCAACACAGUCCUACAUAUCCUUUUCGUGCUAUUGUGCUGACUCAAACCAUACAAUGCUAUUUUAACUUAAAUCCAACAGGUCUAAUGAUGUACAAUGCAGUCCAAAGGCAUUUUUCAAGACUUCACAUAAACAUCUGCUAAGACCCCCUCAUAAUCUCUUACAUUUUAUCUCAUAAUAAUCUUGAGUUAUUAUCAAAUAUUCUGAG